Molecule: ribosomal RNA, 482 nt
Filed under: uncultured bacterium
Lineage: Bacteria
Description: partial 16S ribosomal RNA
Rfam family: Bacterial small subunit ribosomal RNA
Source: RNAcentral
AUUGAACGCUGGCGGCAUGCCUUACACAUGCAAGUCGAACGGUAACAGGUCUUCGGAUGCUGACGAGUGGCGAACGGGUGAGUAAUACAUCGGAACGUGCCCGAUCGUGGGGGAUAACGAGGCGAAAGCUUUGCUAAUACCGCAUACGAUCUACGGAUGAAAGCGGGGGAUCUUCGGACCUCGCGCGGACGGAGCGGCCGAUGGCAGAUUAGUUAGUUGGUGGGAUAAAGGCUUACCAAGCCGACGAUCUGUAGCUGGUCUGAGAGGAUGAUCAGCCACACUGGGACUGAGACACGGCCCAGACUCCUACGGGAGGCAGCAGUGGGGAAUUUUGGACAAUGGGCGAAAGCCUGAUCCAGCCAUGCCGCGUGAAGGAUGAAGGCCUUCGGGUUGUAAACUGCUUUUGUACGGAACGAAAAGCCUCUUUCUAAUAAAGAGGGGUCAUGACGGUACCGUAAGAAUAAGCACCGGCUAACUACGUG